AUUGAACGCUGGCGGCAUGCUUUACACAUGCAAGUCGAACGGUAACAGGCCUUCGGGUGCUGACGAGUGGCGAACGGGUGAGUAAUGCAUCGGAACGUACCCAGAGGUGGGGGAUAACGCAGCGAAAGCUGUGCUAAUACCGCAUGUGAUCUGAGGAUGAAAGCGGGGGACCGAGCAGCAAUGUUUGGCCUCGCGCCUUUGGAGCGGCCGAUGUCGGAUUAGCUAGUUGGUGGGGUAAAGGCCUACCAAGGCGACGAUCCGUAGCUGGUCUGAGAGGACGACCAGCCACACUGGGACUGAGACACGGCCCAGACUCCUACGGGAGGCAGCAGUGGGGAAUUUUGGACAAAGGGCGCAAGCCUGUUCCAGCAAUGCCGCGUGCGGGAAGAAGGCCUUCGGGUUGUAAACCGCUUUUGGCAGGAACGAAACGGUGUCCGCUAAUACCGGGCGCUAAUGACGGUACCUGCAGAAUAAGCACCGGCUAACUACGUG
Molecule: ribosomal RNA, 492 nt
Filed under: uncultured bacterium
Lineage: Bacteria
Description: partial 16S ribosomal RNA
Rfam family: Bacterial small subunit ribosomal RNA
Source: RNAcentral